RNAcentral lists this ribosomal RNA (1494 nucleotides) under Pseudomonas fluorescens. RNAcentral describes it as "bacterial SSU rRNA". It matches the Rfam family "Bacterial small subunit ribosomal RNA". Lineage: Bacteria; Pseudomonadati; Pseudomonadota; Gammaproteobacteria; Pseudomonadales; Pseudomonadaceae. The record is from RNAcentral.
AUCAUGGCUCAGAUUGAACGCUGGCGGCAGGCCUAACACAUGCAAGUCGAGCGGUAGAGAGAAGCUUGCUUCUCUUGAGAGCGGCGGACGGGUGAGUAAUGCCUAGGAAUCUGCCUGGUAGUGGGGGAUAACGUUCGGAAACGGACGCUAAUACCGCAUACGUCCUACGGGAGAAAGCAGGGGACCUUCGGGCCUUGCGCUAUCAGAUGAGCCUAGGUCGGAUUAGCUAGUUGGUGAGGUAAUGGCUCACCAAGGCGACGAUCCGUAACUGGUCUGAGAGGAUGAUCAGUCACACUGGAACUGAGACACGGUCCAGACUCCUACGGGAGGCAGCAGUGGGGAAUAUUGGACAAUGGGCGAAAGCCUGAUCCAGCCAUGCCGCGUGUGUGAAGAAGGUCUUCGGAUUGUAAAGCACUUUAAGUUGGGAGGAAGGGUUGUAGAUUAAUACUCUGCAAUUUUGACGUUACCGACAGAAUAAGCACCGGCUAACUCUGUGCCAGCAGCCGCGGUAAUACAGAGGGUGCAAGCGUUAAUCGGAAUUACUGGGCGUAAAGGGCGCGUAGGUGGUUUGUUAAGUUGGAUGUGAAAUCCCCGGGCUCAACCUGGGCAACUGCAUUCAAAACUGACUGACUAGAGUAUGGUAGAGGGUGGUGGAAUUUCCUGUGUAGCGGUGAAAUGCGUAGAUAUAGGAAGGAACACCAGUGGCGAAGGCGACCAGCUGGACUAUAUACUGACACUGAGGUGCGAAAGCGUGGGGAGCAAACAGGAUUAGAUACCCUGGUAGUCCACGCCGUAAACGAUGUCAACUAGCCGUUGGAAGCCUUGAGCUUUUAGUGGCGCAGCUAACGCAUUAAGUUGACCGCCUGGGGAGUACGGCCGCAAGGUUAAAACUCAAAUGAAUUGACGGGGGCCCGCACAAGCGGCGGAGCAUGUGGUUUAAUUCGAAGCAACGCGAAGAACCUUACCAGGCCUUGACAUCCAAUGAACUUUCUAGAGAUAGAUUGGUGCCUUCGGGAACAUUGAGACAGGUGCUGCAUGGCUGUCGUCAGCUCGUGUCGUGAGAUGUUGGGUUAAGUCCCGUAACCAGCGCAACCCUUGUCCUUAGUUACCAGCACGUUAUGGUGGGCACUCUAAGGAGACUGCCGGUGACAAACCGCAGGAAGGUGGGGAUGACGUCAAGUCAUCAUGGCCCUUACGGCCUUGGGCUACACACGUGCUACCAAUGGUCGGUACAGAGGGUUGCCAAGCCGCGAGGUGGAGCUAAUCCCAUAAAACCGAUCGUAGUCCGGAUCGCAGUCUGCAACUCGACUGCGUGAAGUCGGAAUCGCUAGUAAUCGCGAAUCAGAAUGUCGCGGUGAAUACGUUCCCGGGCCUUGUACACACCGCCCGUCACACCAUGGGAGUGGGUUGCACCAGAAGUAGCUAGUCUAACCUUCGGGAGGACGGUUACCACGGUGUGAUUCAUGACUGGGGGGAAGUCGUAACAAGGUAACC